CCUACGGGAGGCAGCAGUGGGGAAUAUUGGGCAAUGGACGCAAGUCUGACCCAGCAACGCCGCGUGAAGGCAGAAGGCUUUCGGGUUGUAAACUUCUUUUAAGGGGGAAGAGCAGAAGACGGUACCCCUUGAAUAAGCCACGGCUAACUACGUGCCAGCAGCCGCGGUAAUACGUAGGUGUCAAGAGUUGUCCGGAGUUACUGGGUGUAAAGGGCGUGCAGCCGGAGAGACAAGUCAGAUGUGAAAUCCGCAGGCUCAACCUGCGAACUGCAUUUGAAACUGUUUCCCUUGAGUAUCGGAGAGGUCAUCGGAAUUCCUAGUGUAGCGGUGAAAUCCGUAGAUAUCUGGAGGAACAUCAGUGGCGAAGGCGACUAUCUGGCACAUAACUGACGCUGAGGAGCGAAAGCGUGGGUAGCAAACAGGAUUAGAUACCCGAGUAGUC
Molecule: ribosomal RNA, 442 nt
Filed under: uncultured bacterium
Lineage: Bacteria
Description: partial 16S ribosomal RNA
Rfam family: Bacterial small subunit ribosomal RNA
Source: RNAcentral